UACAGAGGUGGCAAGCGUUGUUCGGAAUUACUGGGCGUAAAGGGCGCGUAGGCGGUUCGUUAAGUCCUGUGUGAAAUCCCCCGGCUCAACUGGGGAACUGCACAGGAAACUAGCGGGCUUGAGUUCGGGAGAGGGAAGCGGAAUUCCAGGUGUAGCGGUGAAAUGCGUAGAUAUCUGGAGGAACACCGGUGGCGAAGGCGGCAUCCUGGACCAACACUGACGCUGAGGCGCGAAAGCUAGGGGAGCAAACGGG
This 253-nucleotide ribosomal RNA is filed under the name uncultured bacterium. RNAcentral describes it as "partial 16S ribosomal RNA". It matches the Rfam family "Bacterial small subunit ribosomal RNA", at positions 524 to 776 of the family's 1533-position model. The record is from RNAcentral.